Molecule: ribosomal RNA, 253 nt
Filed under: uncultured bacterium
Lineage: Bacteria
Description: partial 16S ribosomal RNA
Rfam family: Bacterial small subunit ribosomal RNA
Source: RNAcentral
UACGGAGGUGGCUAGCGUUGUUCGGAAUUACUGGGCGUAAAGCGCGCGUAGGCGGACCUGCAAGUCGGGGGUGAAAGCCCGAGGCUCAACCUUGGAACUGCCUUCGAUACUGCUGGUCUCGAGUCCGGGAGAGGUGAGUGGAAUUCCUAGUGUAGAGGUGAAAUUCGUAGAUAUUAGGAAGAACACCAGUGGCGAAGGCGGCUCACUGGCCCGGUACUGACGCUGAGGCGCGAAAGCGUGGGGAGCAAACAGG